Eleginops maclovinus (Patagonian blennie) is the source of this 3166-nucleotide long non-coding RNA. RefSeq lists it as uncharacterized. Lineage: Eukaryota; Metazoa; Chordata; Actinopteri; Perciformes; Eleginopidae. The record is from RefSeq and is a predicted model, not a curated record. The transcript has 2 exons.
GGUGGCUGACUAAAUACUUUUUUGCCCCACUGUAUAUAUAAAAUGUUUUUAAUGGUACAUAUUAUUUUUUAUCUCUUUCAUUUCCCAUAUUUAUUUUUGUACAUUUUCUUUCAUUGAUUUUGCUAAAAAUGUUAAAUACCUAACUCUGUUUGCUGUUUUUUUUUAAAGAAAUUCUUUAUACAUAUCUAAAAUGUGAUUUUGUAUGAAUAGUAAUUUUCCACUUGCAUGCUGCUCUUAUUCAAAGCAACAGGUUACCUGUAAUAGUUAUAAGAAAUGAUAACCAACUUUAUGGUACCCAUUCUCUCUGAUUAAAGUCAAGUCAAAGAAACCCUUAGGGCCCUUAAGUGAAAGUCUUCUGUGGUUCUGGUCAUACAGAAAGGACCCUGUUCCUCAGUGUGUCUUUUGAAAUACACAUACUAGUAGAAGUGGGAUGUGGAAACCUGAAGCUUCUAGUGUAUAACAAUUCAAAUUAACUUUUCAGUGAAGUAUGAAACUUUUGACACCACUCUGUUUUUGCUGCUGUGCCAUUUGACCUCACAACUUGUUUACAAACCUAUAGAAUAAUCCUGUUGUUUUAUCAGUGAAAUUCCUUUUAGGUGAAAAACUGCAUUUGAGCGAUGUAUUCUGUCCAUACCUGCGUCUGUCGGAUAGACUCUCCUCCGUGUCAUUGGUCACAAUAACAUGUGUGGAGCCUCCUUGGCUUUCCUCGUGCAUCACCUCAAUCUGUGGCGCACAAACACACAUUCAGUUAAUUAUUAGGGCAGCUAGUAUAUUAUGCAAACAAUGUCUUUUUUUUCAGCUUGGUCCCAAUAGAGCUCUUCAUUGUUCCAGUCAAUCCACUAACCAAAGCCAGUAGAUAUAUUGUCUUUACCAGGUGUUUGCAUUCAGAUGGUCAUCAAGUCCUUUGUGAAUAUGUAACUAGGCUAAUGGUAAAUCCACAGAUGACCUUUUCUUCUGUCAGCAGCCUUUAAUGCAAAAGCUUGUGUCAUGAUUAACCUUGCAGAACUGUACUGCACUGAACUACUGUAAAUUAAUAUACAGCUCCAGAAGAAAUGAAGAGACCACUCCAAAUGUUUCUUAAAUCUUUAUCUCUACAUGUAUGGCAGCCAUUCCAGUGUCUGUUGAAUUCUGACACAGAGGAAUGUUGUCAGUAGUUUAUGGAAUACAAUAAAAUAAACCUAAAAAUAAUUUAACUGAAAGGUAAUAAUAUCCACUUCUUUGUCAGGCAUUUUGAAAGCAACAUUUCUUGUGGAAAAAUAAAGACAUUUAGUUGUGGUUUCUAUGAGGCUAGGCUGAAGGUGCCACAGAGGGACUAAGUAUACUGUUUGAGCUGACAGCAAAACAUCAUAAACGUUCUUCUUACUGAUCAGUUACGUAACAUGUUCUAGAUUUUUCUAGGAGAUGCAAGAUGCUGCAUUUGUUGUCUUUAAUAAUGGCAUCCAACGCUAUAGCUGGCCAUUGAUCCAUGAUAGGAUGGAUUAAAUGAGGGGUCUAAAUGUCACUAUGUGUGCUAUGCUGUGCACAUGGGUGACGAAAAAAUACAAACUUCAAAUCCUCCAUUUCUAUCCAUUUACUCUAUCCAUAAAUUGCCUUUGGGACCAGCGGGAUAGGCCCAACAACAGAUCAAGAAGUGCGUAGUAUGGACUGGUACCUAUAGAAGUAUCAAUAUUUGUGGGACCAAACCUUGCCCCAGUGUCACAGUCAGUUACUCUUUUUUAAUUUGUGAUGUUUAGAACUUUAAAAAAUCUUUAAAGUUCUUAAGAGAUUUAAGAGUGGGACUGCAGGAGGGUACCUUGAUGCCUCCCUUGGCCUUGCGUGUGUUCUUCUUCUUGGGAUCUUCGGCUGGCGGCUUGCCACUGUUGGUGUUAUCAGAAGCUCUGCGAGCCAGUGCUACAAGAAGUUCAGAGGACCAAGCACUAGUGUUUUAUCACAGACAGAAGAGUUCAAACAGUUGGGAGUUACCCAAGGUUGAUCAUCUGAGGCACAAGUUAAGGCAACAUCCAACUCACGCUGCUGGACCCCUGUGGUCCUGGGGGGGGUUUUCAUUGACGGCUUUUUCGGAGAGGACUCGGGCCGCGGGGCGACAGGCUGGACAGGCCUCGUCUGUUUAGCCGACAGCCUCUUCAGACUGACGUGCCGUUUCUGGAACAUCUCUUGUACGUCCUCCAGGCGCUUCAGUGCCUUCAGGGCAUUGGCCUGCAGGCAGAACACUCACCAUCAGCACUCCUCAUCAUCAUUCAAACACAACAUCCAGUCAGCAUGACUCCAGAAAGCGUUCUAUGUCCGCCAGUGCUGAUUCCGCCCCUUCCUGUGACUGACACCUAUCCACAGCCAGGGAGGCCAGCAGGUAGAUGCCAGACUCACACCACUGGUUAACCUGAGCAGAGGAAACAUUCAAACAGGGCAAAAAGUUAAUGUAGAGAACAAAACACCAUCACAUAUAAUCCCAAAUCCUGGAAGAACAUGCCACUGGGGUCAAUAAGGACCUUCAAGAACAUAGUCUUUACCUCUUCACCACCUUAAUUAAAUUAGGGGUCGAGGUUUUAGCCUUGUUUUGAUAUUAUAAAGACUCAAUAUAAUACCUUAAAAUAAAAUAAACACUGAAGAUAUGAUAAAAGCCAGAUGAGAAUUUGAGUAAGAUCUUAGACAUCAUAACAAAGUAUACAUAAAAAGUCAGAAACCUUUAGCCCAAAUACAAUGAGAGAUAAUCCAAGUGCUGGGAAGCUUUUGUUUUCUGGCUGUGACAUCUGUACAUGAUAUCAUGUUCUCACCUUAUCAAUGCCCAUGUGUAUCUGCAGGGAUUUGGACAGGACAUCCGUCUUUUUCUUGGACUCGUUGCUGAAGUCGUCACAGACCUGCCGGAGCUCCACACACUUGGGUCGGAUGGAGUCAACAGCGUAGUGGUUGCUCUGGAUCAGCUGGUCACCGUGCAGGGCGUGGAGCUGGGCCUUCUCUAGCGUGGGCUAAAAUAAACAUGUUUCAGAAUUCAUCAUGGCCGCCAUCUGAAGGGUCUACUGGGGAGAACUUGUCCUGGACUCACUGCUGUACAAAGCUUGACAAAAUAACCAUUUGUGAUUAUUGAUUUCUGAUCAAGCGGGUGGUAGAUUAUUCAAGGAGCUGUCAUGACUUAGAUUGAGGUAAGGAAUAAAUACUUUUGAAAUAAUAA